AGAGGGUGCGAGCGUUGUCCGGAAUCACUGGGCGUAAAGGGCGCGUAGGCGGCUCAGUAAGGUUGCGGUGAAAGCCCGGGGCUCAACCCCGGGUCGGCCGUGGCAACUGCUGGGCUGGAGCACUGUAGAGGCAGGUGGAAUUCCGGGUGUAGCGGUGGAAUGCGUAGAGAUCCGGAAGAACACCGGUGGCGAAGGCGGCCUGCUGGGCAGUAGCUGACGCUGAUGCGCGACAGCGUGGGGAGCAAACAGGAUUAGAUACCCUGGUAGUCCACGCCGUAAACGAUGGGCACUAGAUGCUUGGGGGAGCGACCCUCCGAGUGUCGGCGCUAACGCAUUAAGUGCCCCGCCUGGGGAGUACGGCCGCAAGGCUG
This 371-nucleotide ribosomal RNA is filed under the name uncultured bacterium. Its description in RNAcentral is "bacterial SSU rRNA". It matches the Rfam family "Bacterial small subunit ribosomal RNA", at positions 527 to 896 of the family's 1533-position model. The record is from RNAcentral.